This 1006-nucleotide long non-coding RNA is filed under the name Ailuropoda melanoleuca (giant panda). RNAcentral's name for it is "lncRNA (ENSAMEG00000028327.1)". The record is from RNAcentral. Lineage: Eukaryota; Metazoa; Chordata; Mammalia; Carnivora; Ursidae.
GCAGCUGCUGCCUGGCUUUACUUACAACUUUUUUUUGUAAAGGAACUUACCUCCAUCUGUCUUUGCAAGUUUUAGGGUAGAAAGAGUCCCUGUAACCCCUGAAGACAGUAAAUCACAGUUUGCAUGGUGGUUCUCAGAAGACACUUAAAAGAACUGAAUUGGAUGCUCUACAUAGCGCCCUUGCCAAAAGAGUUCGGAAAUGACUUCCAGCUUCCCACAGUAAUAAAAUGGCACUGUUUGGCAUCUUUAAGGGUCUAGGAGGAAGUCUGAUCAUCUUCCAUUUCCCAUCUGGGUAUUCAUAAGGCACCUGCAUCUCUGGGAUUUCUCCUAGACUACACAAUGUUACCAGCUGACAACAAACAUUGUGUAAAGGAAGACCACCCUUCAGAAAAGGCACCUGAACGUUAGACGCUUGGCAGCCAAAGGCGCAGGAUGUAGCUGUCUCUCCUUAUUCCUUAUUUCAGCUGUACCAGAAGUAGAAAUUAUAAUUAUGCUGGCCGGAAAAGACAAGACAGAUAUUUUUUAUAUGUAGGCCAGCCCACAUUCGUCUUUGUUUAAUAUGCUGCAAUUACAAGGCUAUUACAAACAAAUUAGUAGUAUCACGGAAGAAUUUUUAAUGACUUACUGAUUUCAAUUAUUGCCAAAUACCUUCAUCUAACCGUCACACUCUUAAUUAAGAGACACCGGUGUGUGUGUUUACAUAAUGUCUUUGUUAAAAUUAUGCAAUGGUGGCCUCAGCAGUGAGGGGCUGGUCCAUUCAUUAAGCAGACACAACCAUCAAAGAGGUUAAGCAGAUAUUACAAAAGAAGCAGGAAGAAGCAGGAUGUAGACACACCCAGUGUAACAAUAGUGGGGAAGGAGGUGUCCCUGACAAAGACAUGAUAAGAGGAAGGGGAAAUAUUGCUGCAACUCUGAAUGAUGGUCUGUAAACUCUUGAGCUCAUGUUUAUGAAGCCUCCGACAGCUCCCUUCAACAAAGACAGAAUUAGAGGUACAUGCUAAUGCCU